Molecule: ribosomal RNA, 1767 nt
Filed under: Shigella sonnei
Lineage: Bacteria; Pseudomonadati; Pseudomonadota; Gammaproteobacteria; Enterobacterales; Enterobacteriaceae
Description: partial 23S ribosomal RNA
Rfam family: Bacterial large subunit ribosomal RNA
Source: RNAcentral
UCCUGACUGACCGAUAGUGAACCAGUACCGUGAGGGAAAGGCGAAAAGAACCCCGGCGAGGGGAGUGAAAAAGAACCUGAAACCGUGUACGUACAAGCAGUGGGAGCACGCUUAGGCGUGUGACUGCGUACCUUUUGUAUAAUGGGUCAGCGACUUAUAUUCUGUAGCAAGGUUAACCGAAUAGGGGAGCCGAAGGGAAACCGAGUCUUAACUGGGCGUUAAGUUGCAGGGUAUAGACCCGAAACCCGGUGAUCUAGCCAUGGGCAGGUUGAAGGUUGGGUAACACUAACUGGAGGACCGAACCGACUAAUGUUGAAAAAUUAGCGGAUGACUUGUGGCUGGGGGUGAAAGGCCAAUCAAACCGGGAGAUAGCUGGUUCUCCCCGAAAGCUAUUUAGGUAGCGCCUCGUGAAUUCAUCUCCGGGGGUAGAGCACUGUUUCGGCAAGGGGGUCAUCCCGACUUACCAACCCGAUGCAAACUGCGAAUACCGGAGAAUGUUAUCACGGGAGACACACGGCGGGUGCUAACGUCCGUCGUGAAGAGGGAAACAACCCAGACCGCCAGCUAAGGUCCCAAAGUCAUGGUUAAGUGGGAAACGAUGUGGGAAGGCCCAGACAGCCAGGAUGUUGGCUUAGAAGCAGCCAUCAUUUAAAGAAAGCGUAAUAGCUCACUGGUCGAGUCGGCCUGCGCGGAAGAUGUAACGGGGCUAAACCAUGCACCGAAGCUGCGGCAGCGACGCUUAUGCGUUGUUGGGUAGGGGAGCGUUCUGUAAGCCUGCGAAGGUGUGCUGUGAGGCAUGCUGGAGGUAUCAGAAGUGCGAAUGCUGACAUAAGUAACGAUAAAGCGGGUGAAAAGCCCGCUCGCCGGAAGACCAAGGGUUCCUGUCCAACGUUAAUCGGGGCAGGGUGAGUCGACCCCUAAGGCGAGGCCGAAAGGCGUAGUCGAUGGGAAACAGGUUAAUAUUCCUGUACUUGGUGUUACUGCGAAGGGGGGACGGAGAAGGCUAUGUUGGCCGGGCGACGGUUGUCCCGGUUUAAGCGUGUAGGCUGGUUUUCCAGGCAAAUCCGGAAAAUCAAGGCUGAGGCGUGAUGACGAGGCACUACGGUGCUGAAGCAACAAAUGCCCUGCUUCCAGGAAAAGCCUCUAAGCAUCAGGUAACAUCAAAUCGUACCCCAAACCGACACAGGUGGUCAGGUAGAGAAUACCAAGGCGCUUGAGAGAACUCGGGUGAAGGAACUAGGCAAAAUGGUGCCGUAACUUCGGGAGAAGGCACGCUGAUAUGUAGGUGAAGUCCCUUGCGGAUGGAGCUGAAAUCAGUCGAAGAUACCAGCUGGCUGCAACUGUUUAUUAAAAACACAGCACUGUGCAAACACGAAAGUGGACGUAUACGGUGUGACGCCUGCCCGGUGCCGGAAGGUUAAUUGAUGGGGUCAGCGCAAGCGAAGCUCUUGAUCGAAGCCCCGGUAAACGGCGGCCGUAACUAUAACGGUCCUAAGGUAGCGAAAUUCCUUGUCGGGUAAGUUCCGACCUGCACGAAUGGCGUAAUGAUGGCCAGGCUGUCUCCACCCGAGACUCAGUGAAAUUGAACUCGCUGUGAAGAUGCAGUGUACCCGCGGCAAGACGGAAAGACCCCGUGAACCUUUACUAUAGCUUGACACUGAACAUUGAGCCUUGAUGUGUAGGAUAGGUGGGAGGCUUUGAAGUGUGGACGCCAGUCUGCAUGGAGCCGGCCUUGAAAUACCACCCUUUAAUGUUUGAUGUUCUAAC